RNAcentral lists this long non-coding RNA (704 nucleotides) under Coturnix japonica (Japanese quail). Its description in RNAcentral is "lncRNA (ENSCJPG00005003386.1)". The record is from RNAcentral. Lineage: Eukaryota; Metazoa; Chordata; Aves; Galliformes; Phasianidae.
GAUUAAGUACCUCUCUUUUAAAAGCUCGGCGAAACACACAUUUUCUGCAGCUGAUUAGCAAACAACCGCAAUACAGAAUUGACUUCUGACACCAUUAAGAGAAGGAAAUGCUGGAAUGAUUUGAGGUGUGAAUUUGAUGGAGGUGAAGACAAGAGCUCCUUGCUGGAGUGCGGUACCUUACUAGUCUCCAGCUUCCCAGAAUGAAGAAUCCCUGGGGAUGGGAGACUGUGUGGAGAGAGGAAGGAAGGGCACUUCCUUAGGGUGGACAGAAAGAUUCAAGGUGAGAGAAGCUUCAGCUCAGUGUAUCUGCCCACCUGUUUUAGCACAUGUUGAAUAGACACCAAAGAAGACACGAGAGGGUUGAGGUCCAGUCAGUCUGCUGAACAGAGAGUCACAGUGCCUCACAUUUGAGGCAUCCAGGCAGCCUCAGGAGUGUGCCAGCCUGUGGCUAAGGUUGGUGAGUCCCCAGUCCCCUUGAGUCCCACGGACUGAGAACUUCACAUCUGGAGAUCGGUGCUUCUCUUCGACCUCCAGGUGUGUGCUGUCCAGGGGCUGCCCCUGCCUUAAGCUGUGAGAAGUGCUGUCUGAAUUGCAAGAAUGACGUUCACUGAGAAGGAACGGGAGGAUGUUGAAACAGAGAGAGGCUUGUGGCAAGAGUCUGCAGUCCACUUUGCAGAAGUUUUACUGAGCGCUGAGGCCACUCC